This 253-nucleotide ribosomal RNA is filed under the name uncultured bacterium. Its description in RNAcentral is "partial 16S ribosomal RNA". It matches the Rfam family "Bacterial small subunit ribosomal RNA", at positions 524 to 776 of the family's 1533-position model. The record is from RNAcentral.
UACGUAGGUGGCAAGCGUUGUUCGGAAUUAUUGGGCGUAAAGGGCGCGUAGGCGGCCUGUCGCGUCGGAUGUGAAAGCCCGGGGCUCAACCCCGGGUCUGCAUUCGAUACGGGCAGGCUGGAGUGUGGUAGGGGAGAUCGGAAUUCCUGGUGUAGCGGUGAAAUGCGCAGAUAUCAGGAGGAACACCGGUGGCGAAGGCGGAUCUCUGGGCCAUUACUGACGCUGAGGAGCGAAAGCGUGGGGAGCGAACAGG